Molecule: ribosomal RNA, 421 nt
Filed under: uncultured Cytophagaceae bacterium
Lineage: Bacteria; Pseudomonadati; Bacteroidota; Cytophagia; Cytophagales; Cytophagaceae
Description: bacterial SSU rRNA
Rfam family: Bacterial small subunit ribosomal RNA
Source: RNAcentral
AGUAGGGAAUAUUGGACAAUGGGUGCGAGCCUGAUCCAGCCAUGCCGCGUGCAGGAAGACGGCCUUCUGGGUUGUAAACUGCUUUUGCCAGGGGAUAAAAAGUCCCUGCGGGGAAAAUUGAAGGUACCUGGUGAAUAAGCCACGGCUAACUACGUGCCAGCAGCCGCGGUAAUACGUAGGUGGCAAGCGUUGUCCGGAUUUAUUGGGUUUAAAGGGUGCGUAGGUUGUUUUGUAAGUCAGUGGUGAAAUCCGGCAGCUCAACUGUCGAUGUGCCAUUGAUACUGCUGAACUUGAGUACAGACGAGGUAGGCGGAAUUGACGGUGUAGCGGUGAAAUGCUUAGAUAUCGUCAAGAACACCGAUAGCGAAGGCAGCUUACUAGACUGUAACUGACACUGAUGCACGAAAGUGUGGGGAUCAAA